RNAcentral lists this ribosomal RNA (205 nucleotides) under uncultured bacterium. RNAcentral describes it as "partial 16S ribosomal RNA". It matches the Rfam family "Bacterial small subunit ribosomal RNA", at positions 524 to 726 of the family's 1533-position model. The record is from RNAcentral.
UACGAAGGGUGCAAGCGUUACUCGGAAUUACUGGGCGUAAAGCGUGCGUAGGUGGUUUGUUAAGUCUGUUGUGAAAGCCCCGGGCUCAACCUGGGAAUGGCAAUGGAUACUGGCAAGCUAGAGUGCGGUAGAGGGUAGUGGAAUUCCCGGUGUAGCGGUGAAAUGCGUAGAGAUCGGGAGGAACACCAGGUGGCGAAGGCGGACU